RNAcentral lists this ribosomal RNA (253 nucleotides) under uncultured bacterium. RNAcentral describes it as "partial 16S ribosomal RNA". It matches the Rfam family "Bacterial small subunit ribosomal RNA", at positions 524 to 776 of the family's 1533-position model. The record is from RNAcentral.
UACGUAGGGGGCGAGCGUUGUCCGGAUUUAUUGGGCGUAAAGAGCGUGUAGGCGGUUCGGUAAGUCUGUCGUGAAAUCCUGAGGCUCAACCUCGGACGUGCGAUGGAUACUGCCGGGCUAGAGGAUGGUAGAGGCGAGUGGAAUUCCCGGUGUAGCGGUGAAAUGCGCAGAUAUCGGGAGGAACACCCGUAGCGAAGGCGGCACUCUGGGCCGAUACUGACACUGAGGAGCGAAAGCGUGGGGAGCGAACAGG